GUGUUGGUUAUUUUGUUUUGUCUUUUUUAAAUCCAGUCAGCCCAGUCUUGUGUUUGAUAGUGAGCUGAGACCCUUAGUACUUUUGAUGGUAAAUUUUUGAUUGUGUCAAUUCUUGUCUCUUAUUUGCAACGAUCUAUACUGGGGCCUACGUGGGGAAUGCCUGAAGGCUCCAGCUGAAAUCCUUUGGUCUGGCACUGUUGAAGUUGGUCAAUGUUUGUGCUGACAUCAAAAUGAGGGGUGUGGUACAACAGGCAUUAGCCAUUGGAUCACGUCAAACCAAUCAGAGCAUCUAAGCCAAAAUGCAGCUUCAUCCAAGUGUGUUCUGGCUCUGGCCCAACCCCUUGGUUUGUGGGACCAAUCAGAACGAUUAGAAUGUUACAGAGAGGAAGCUACUGUUUUGUGGGCGUGGCAUUUGGCCGGAGCCGGGUAAUUGUGAGACGUCAUAUCAUUGGUUUACAGGGUAUUGCUGAUGAAGUCAUCAUGAAUUUUAAAUGUUAUGGGAGGAGGUUGGCAGCCAUUGGUCUCCAGUUAUCCAGUAGAGAGACAUGUUUGUAUGAUGGAGGGCACUAAGAGACAAGUGACGCUUUCUCACUGUUUUUAUAUUAGCCAUGUCUAUGUGUUUGUUGUUUUUUGGAUGUUAAGCACUUAGUUGUCAAUCUGUUCACAAUGGCAUUUUUAGGAAUCUGUGUUUUGGGUCAGGUGAGAUUGGACUCAAGGAGAAGAGUGUAGAAUCCUAAUAAAAGAGGCCUCCUUUAACAUCUUUUGGUUUCUUUUGGUCAUGCCACCAACAUUCUUUAGUGCUCCCACACUCAAGCGACAAUCACAGUUAGUGAAAGGUUACCUAGUCCGCUUUGAGCGAGUUGAGACCAACCCUAAAGCUGCUUCAGGGCACAUUUCCCAGCAUAGAGUUGGAAUUUGCUUGCAUUAAAAAGGUGUCAAAUAAAAGCCAUCUGUUUCUAUGCCCUUUGGUCCAUGGCAGUGCUGGCUGCAGUGUGAGCCCCAGCCUGUCUCUACGAUGGAACUCCUUAUGUCUCUGGAGCUGCCCGUAGAGGCCGUCUGACCUCUGAGUUUUUACAGUCUAGAGGAAGAGGAGCUUUGCCUCACGCCAGGCCAGACGCACCUUCUUAUCUAGGUCCUUGUUAUUUUGUACAGUUCUAAGAUAUUUCUAGUGUUAAGUGCCAUUUAUUUUACAUAUUCUGAAGUUACCAAGUGACGCACACUUUUCAUUUGUUUUAAUCAUGUUUUUCAUCUUGUUUUCAUGCCAGGGUUAUACAUGUUCACGCAGGGAAAUGUUGAAGCAUCCUCCGUUCAAUUUCUACAUGUCCUUUUUCCAGAUCUGUCACCGCCUUAGCUCUUUACCGUCACCUGUUCUGUCACAUCCGGGGAGGUUUAUACAGUCUAACAGUGUUACUUUACCAUGUGGGACUUUAGUUUUUACUCCUUUUAAUCAUGUCGUCCAUAGCUCUUAUUGAAUUGUUGAUGCCAGGAAGCACAGCUGUUUAGAUGGACUGCAUGUUAUCCUGCUGUCCAUCAAGCCUUUGGGAGCCAGUCGAGUCGAGGCUUGUUAGUUAUUAACGUGUGUAACUGUUGGACUGACUCCACUAUCCUUUUCCAUCUUCACUGGAUUACAUCAAGUUUCUGCUUGGCCUACCUGAUACUAGUCUCAUUUCAAUUGAAUCAGUCAUGGUAGACCUAAACACAAAGGUAACUGGAACCAACCAAGCAGAAGGUAACCCCAGCUGUUUCAUCCAAAAACUCAGCAUCUGUACUUGUAUAUUAGUUUACUAUUCAUAACCUAAUUGGGAGAGAAAGUCAUAGAAUAAUUUCAAAUGACAGGGGACAAAACCAUAUCCAGGUGUGUUAACAAAAUAAAUAGCAGAGAUAACUAGAAAAAUCAGUUGUUCCAUGUACUGAUGUGUAUUUGAAUGAGUUAUGCUUUCCUCUGGUUUCUAUUUGUUCUUACACCGCUUGCUUUUGAUUACAGUCAUGUCACUCUCCAUGUUAAUAGUUUAGCGUUUCAUUUGAUAUUAAAAGAAGGACAAAAGGCGAAAGAAAAACAAAUGAAUGAAAUGGCCGUGGGGGGGAGGGGGGGACGGUGCUGGGACAUGGCAUGUACAUUGUUUAACCAUUAUGUGCAUAAUGAUUUUUUUUCUUCAUUUUUUUUAUUAUAACCCACUGUAUAAUAGCAUGGAUUGUACAUAGAACUGAAGAGAUGUAAAUAUUUAUGUGGCUUGCUGCAAGGUUGGUAUUUACAGAAAAACUAUUGACACUGUUUAAUUCUACAUGCCCACCAGCAAGCUUUGUGGAUAGCAGUGGAAAAAUGAAAAACAACAAAAAAAACACUGCCUUAAUGUUUAAAUAAAAAGCUUAUUGCCAUUGAAACUGAUGCUAAUGUGUUUUUGUAUGCCUUUUCGUUUUAAUGUCAAAAUGUGUACAAUCACUUAUGCCUAUUUAAUAAAGCAGA
Esox lucius (northern pike) is the source of this 2464-nucleotide long non-coding RNA. Lineage: Eukaryota; Metazoa; Chordata; Actinopteri; Esociformes; Esocidae. The record is from Ensembl.